GAUGAACGCUAGCUACAGGCUUAACACAUGCAAGUCGAGCGAACGGACGAGAAGCUUGCUUCUCUGAUGUUAGCGGCGGACGGGUGAGUAACACGUGGAUAACCUACCUAUAAGACUGGGAUAACUUCGGGAAACCGGAGCUAAUACCGGAUAAUAUUUUGAACCGCAUGGUUCAAAAGUGAAAGACGGUCUUGCUGUCACUUAUAGAUGGAUCCGCGCUGCAUUAGCUAGUUGGUAAGGUAACGGCUUACCAAGGCAACGAUGCAUAGCCGACCUGAGAGGGUGAUCGGCCACACUGGAACUGAGACACGGUCCAGACUCCUACGGGAGGCAGCAGUAGGGAAUCUUCCGCAAUGGGCGAAAGCCUGACGGAGCAACGCCGCGUGAGUGAUGAAGGUCUUCGGAUCGUAAAACUCUGUUAUUAGGGAAGAACAUAUGUGUAAGUAACUGUGCACAUCUUGACGGUACCUAAUCAGAAAGCCACGGCUAACUACGUG
RNAcentral lists this ribosomal RNA (497 nucleotides) under uncultured bacterium. RNAcentral's name for it is "partial 16S ribosomal RNA". It matches the Rfam family "Bacterial small subunit ribosomal RNA", at positions 28 to 507 of the family's 1533-position model. The record is from RNAcentral.